This 460-nucleotide ribosomal RNA is filed under the name uncultured bacterium. RNAcentral's name for it is "partial 16S ribosomal RNA". It matches the Rfam family "Bacterial small subunit ribosomal RNA", at positions 338 to 795 of the family's 1533-position model. The record is from RNAcentral.
CCUACGGGGGGCAGCAGUGAGGAAUAUUGGUCAAUGGCCGGAAGGCUGAACCAGCCAUGCCGCGUGAAGGUCAGUGCCCUAUGGGCGUUAAACUUCUUUUGUGCGGGAGCAAUAAUGGUCACGUGUGGCCAGACGAGAGUACCGUACGAAUAAGCAUCGGCUAACUCCGAGCCAGCAGCCGCGGUAAUACGGGGGAUGCAAGCGUUAUCCGGAUUUAUUGGGUUUAUAGGGUGCGUAGGCUGUGAGGUAAGUCAGCGGUGAAAUGCCCCCGCUCAACGGGGUGAAGUGCCAUUGAUACUGCCGUGCUGGAAUGCGGAUGCCGUGGGAGGAAUGUGAGGUGUAGCGGUGAAAUGCAUAGAUAUCACACAGAACACCGAUUGCGAAGGCAUCUCACGAAGCCGCGAUUGACGCUGAUGCACGAAAGCGUGGGUAUCAAACAGGAUUAGAUACCCCAGUAGUC